AUUGAACGCUGGCGGCAGGCUUAACACAUGCAAGUCGAGCGGGGUGAUGGUGCUUGCACUAUCACUUAGCGGCGGACGGGUGAGUAAUGCUUAGGAAUCUGCCUAUUAGUGGGGGACAACAUCUCGAAAGGGAUGCUAAUACCGCAUACGUCCUACGGGAGAAAGCAGGGGAUCACUUGUGACCUUGCGCUAAUAGAUGAGCCUAAGUCGGAUUAGCUAGUUGGUGGGGUAAAGGCCUACCAAGGCGACCAUCUGUAGCGGGUCUGAGAGGAUGAUCCGCCACACUGGGACUGAGACACGGCCCAGACUCAUCCGGGAGGCAGCAGUGGGGAAUAUUGGACAAUGGGGGGAACCCUGAUCCAGCCAUGCCGCGUGUGUGAAGAAGGCCUUAUGGUUGUAAAGCACUUUAAGCGAGGAGGAGGCUCUUUUGGUUAAUACCCAAGAUGAGUGGACGUUACUCGCAGAAUAAGCACCGGCUAACUCUGUGCCAGCCGCCGCCGUAA
This 503-nucleotide ribosomal RNA is filed under the name uncultured bacterium. RNAcentral describes it as "partial 16S ribosomal RNA". It matches the Rfam family "Bacterial small subunit ribosomal RNA", at positions 30 to 523 of the family's 1533-position model. The record is from RNAcentral.